This 275-nucleotide ribosomal RNA is filed under the name uncultured prokaryote. Its description in RNAcentral is "partial 16S ribosomal RNA". It matches the Rfam family "Bacterial small subunit ribosomal RNA", at positions 524 to 798 of the family's 1533-position model. The record is from RNAcentral.
UACGAAGGGUGCAAGCGUUAAUCGGAAUUACUGGGCGUAAAGCGCGCGUAGGUGGUUCGUAAAGUUAGGAGUGAAAGCCCCGGGCUCAACCUGGGAAUUGCUUCUAAAACUGGCGAGCUAGAGUAUGGUAGAGGGUGGUGGAAUUUCCUGUGUAGCGGUGAAAUGCGUAGAUAUAGGAAGGAACAUCAGUGGCGAAGGCGACCACCUGGACUGAUACUGACACUGAGGUGCGAAAGCGUGGGUAGCAAACAGGAUUAGAUACCCUGGUAGUCCCU